ACUAGAUGGGAGGAGUGUAGGGAAUGCUUUCUGUGCUAGGCUCACCGCUUCCUCACACCUUCCUUCCUUCCUGCCUCCCUCUCCUUCCAAGCUGGCCCCAGGCACAGCCCUGACAAAGGUCAAACCAACUGAGGAUGCUGGGGAAGAGGGGCAGGAGUUUUAAAGAGGAACAAUCUGAAACCAUGGGGCUGGGAAAAGCUGCCAGAAAAUCAGGAUGGAUUUGGGGACAGUGGCCCUUUCUGUCCACUCAGCUGUCCUGUCGGACUGAUGACUUGGAGCCCGCAGUUCAGAAGACUCCUCAUGGGAUGCCCCACCCCACAGAGUGGGGGUGUGGUGGGCGGCCGGAUGCGUAGUCCAGGGACGUUUGUGAUUUGGAGUGUGCUAGACUAUGUGUAUAAGUCACAUGGGUGUGUGUCACUGUGUGUGCUGGCGUGCCUUAUAGGUGUGCGUGUUUCCCUGUCAGUUUUGACACGGAUUAUAUGAAAUUAAUAAGGGUUUUUACGUUAGAUAUACAUCACUUCUCUACACCCCCAGCUCCUCCUUCCCUCUGGACAAGCUUUCCGCCAAGCCCACCUCUUCCCCAGGUGCAGUGAGCUGGGGGUGAGGGCACAUGGUACCAGCCGCCCGCGGAACCGAGACAGGGCUGGGCCGGGAGACCGCCAGCGGAGGCGAGUCCGAAGCCUGAGCGGGGAGGGAGGGGCGGGCGCUGGCCUGGCCGAGCCGGCUGGGCGGGAAGCAGGCUGCAUCCUAAUCCACAGGCCCCGGUCCGACUCCCAAACUGCCGUUCAGCGUGGAACGGGCUGGCCGGAGCCACGCCGCCUCCAGCACACGCUCGGCGCUCGGGACGCACCGACCGAGGGACGGACCCCGUGAGGCCUGACACAAAGUGGACUCGUCCGGGGUCCCCACACUCCCCGUCUGGCCCCCGGUGUCCCAGAUCGUUGCCCCUCCAAGCCUAGACCCCGAAAUCUGCCCCUUCCCCGCGACAUGUCUCCUCUCCGCCCCUCUCACCGCCUCUGGAGCUGAGCGCUCAGGGCGCGGGCACUCCUGAGUCCCCGGUUCCUAAGCAGCGUCCGGAACCUCCUCCUCGGCUCCCGCCGCCGCCGCCGCCGCUUCUGCCGCCGCCGCCGCCUCUUCCGCCCGCGGAGCCGGAGCCCGAGCCCAGCGCCGCUCACUCCACCCGGCUGGCCGGUGAUGGCACCCUCCUCCCCUUUUGACCUUUGGAUGACCACGGUGCCUAGGACCCCUGGGAGGCACAGAGAAACAUUUACUAGGGACAACUUUUGAGUGUCAGACCCUGUGGACACAAAGAAAAAGCUUGGGUUCCUGCCUUCAAGGGGCUCACAGUUGAGUGGGGAAGACAGACACGUAAAUGAAGAACAAUAACAGACUGUGCUGAGUACUGGAAUGGAAGUGCAGCAGGAACUCAGAAGAGGUCAUCACUGGAGGGGCCACCUCUGGGAAGGCUUCACCAAGGAAGUAUAAUUGGAGCUCUGUCUUGAUGUUCAAAUAAGAGCUGCAGAGAGGGUGCUAUCGAGCAGCACAUAAUCACUUAAUUACAUAUUGCUUUGUAUUCUUCUUCGAUUGUUUAGUAUGCUUGUCUUGACUUCUCCGUGAGGCUAAUCAGCUCAAGAUCAGGGACAGGCCUAGCACUCUCUGUUCUCCCAGAGCCUAACAGUGGCCCUGGACAAACACCAUGUGUUCAGAAAAGGCUUGUUGACUUGAAGCAGAUUAACAAUCCAGGCUUCUCUGGGAAAGCUGCCUGGAGGAACCCCAGUCCCCACUAUAAGAGUCCCCCAGCUCAUCCCUAGCAAGGCACCCACAUCUGAAUUCCCCAUCAGUGGCCACCUCCUCCUGCCAUAGGGGUGAGACUUCACCAAAAUACACUUGUUCAUGCUGCCCCAGAUGUCUUUAUUGAGGCCUCUCAUUUGACCCAAAUACAUUAACAAGUGAUUGCUGAGAUACAGUCCCAAACACAGUAUUCUCCCUUCCUUCUGGCCAAGGACAGGACAGUCAGAAAGAUACAGGAUUAGAGAGAGUGGGGGAAAGCUGUGCAUAGAUGGAGGGAACAGAACAGAGAUGGGGCCCAUAUAUAUGGCUAGAGGAGAAUCACAAGAAAGAGUAUGGAGAGUGAUGGAAGAGACACAUAAUAGAUACAAGUAAGUUAUGGGAUAAGAAACAGAAGUCAGAUAAGAGAGAGCUGGCCUGGUGUCUAGGGAAAAGUAGCUCAUUUGCUCAUCAAAUGAGGGGGAUCAGUGUCUCAGCACCCAGCAUAUAGACCCCAGUUAGCUCUAUGGCAGAGAAUAACCUAGUCUCCCUGGAGGAACUCAGGGAAGGACAAGGGAAGGCAGGAGAGAGCAUGAAAAGACCAGUGGGGCUGAAAGAUGGUUGCCAUAGCAACUAGUCAUCAUCAUCAUCGUCAUCGUCCUCUGUGUUGAUCUCGCCCUCCAGGACAUCCUCCAGCCAGUCCUCCAGCUCCUCAGCAGAAGGCAGGUCCUCCUCAUCGUCCAUUUCCAUCCAUACGCUAUCCGCCUAGGAGAUGGCACAGGCAGGGACGGAAGCUAAGUCCAACCCGGGUCUUAGGAUCUGUCUUCCCACUCACUGGACUCUGUACAUCCUUCCCUACAUUCUCAGUCCCUUCCUUUCAUCUGCCAAAGGCCAGGGAAACUGUCCAGGUGAAGGUAUGGGUUAUGGGUUAGAAUAGUGACAGGUGAGAGUGGGAAGAAAAGUUGGAUUGGCAAAUAGACCUUCUCCCUUCAAUCUGUCUCCCGUGCUCUUGCCACACUGAACUUCCCUAUUAUGCCUUUGGUGCAAAACCACUGGUAGCUCUUCAUGGCUUAUAAGAAUAAAGUUAGCAACUCUUCGGCAUUCAGGACAUUUCUUUCUUUCUUUCUUUUCUAAAAGAGACAUGGUCUCACUCUAUUGCCCGGGCUGAAGCGCAGAGGGGCAGUCAUGGCUCACUGCAGCCUUGAACACCUGGCCUCAAGUGAUUCUCCCACCUUGGCCUCCCAAAAUGCUGGGAUUACAGGCCUGAGCCACUACCCUGGCCCCAGGGCUUUUCAUAACCUGCUUUUCUAGUACCAUUCUCAGUGAUCUCUAGACUCUCAACCAUAAAAAUCCACCUGCCUUUUCCGGGAACCUGAUAUUCAUUUUCCUGUUUUUAACUUUUGAUCUUGCUUUUUCCUCAGUUUGGAAAUGACUUCCCUGAAUCAUCACUUGUUGAAAUCGUAUACAUUGUAGAAUCUCCAUUUUGAAUAUCACUUUUUCUUAAACUUUUCUCUGAUUCUGUCAAGCAGAAAUCAAUGUGAUCCUGUGUCUUAUUUGUAUCGUUAUUAUAAAGUUUAUCAGA
RNAcentral lists this long non-coding RNA (3349 nucleotides) under Homo sapiens (human). RNAcentral describes it as "HSALNT0296143". The record is from RNAcentral. Lineage: Eukaryota; Metazoa; Chordata; Mammalia; Primates; Hominidae.